GUGGGGAAUCUUAGACAAUGGGCGCAAGCCUGAUCUAGCCAUGCCGCGUGAGCGAUGAAGGCCUUAGGGUUGUAAAGCUCUUUCGUGGGGGAAGAUAAUGACUGUACCCCAAGAAGAAGCCCCUGCUAACUCCGUGCCAGCAGCCGCGGUAAUACGGAGGGGGCUAGCGUUGUUCGGAAUUACUGGGCGUAAAGCGCACGUAGGCGGACUGGAAAGUCAGGGGUGAAAUCCCGGGGCUCAACCCCGGAACUGCCUUUGAAACUCCCAGUCUUGAGUUCGAGAGAGGUGAGUGGAAUUCCGAGUGUAGAGGUGAAAUUCGUAGAUAUUCGGAGGAACACCAGUGGCGAAGGCGGCUCACUGGCUCGAUACUGACGCUGAGGUGCGAAAGCGUGGGGAGCAAACAGGAUUAGAUACCCCGGUAGUCC
This 425-nucleotide ribosomal RNA is filed under the name uncultured bacterium. RNAcentral's name for it is "partial 16S ribosomal RNA". It matches the Rfam family "Bacterial small subunit ribosomal RNA", at positions 354 to 796 of the family's 1533-position model. The record is from RNAcentral.